GAUGAAGAACGUAGCAAAAUGCGAUAAGUAAUGUGAAUUGCAGAAUUCAGUGAAUCAUCGAAUCUUUGAACGCACCUUGCGCCUUUUGGUAUUCCGAAAGGCACACCUGUUUGAGCGUCAUGAAUACCUCAAUCUCCAUCUUUUCUUCGGAUUGAUGGGUGACUUGGAUGUUGAGCCCUGCUGGUAUGCUAUAUCAGCUGGCUUUAAACUUAUUAGCCGGCUCUGUACUGGAUCGGUUUGACUCGACGUGAUAAUAUUAUCGUUGAGGAUGCAUAUCUCAUGCAGCCGGAAAGUAUCAAAGCAGCUUCUAGCUUGCCUUUAGUGCACUUUUACAUUUUAGACCUCAGAUCAGGUGGGACUACCCGCUGAACUUAAGCAUAUCAAUAAGCGGAGGA
This 395-nucleotide unclassified non-coding RNA is filed under the name soil metagenome. RNAcentral describes it as "partial contains 5.8S ribosomal RNA, internal transcribed spacer 2, and large subunit ribosomal RNA". The stretch from base 1 to 120 matches the Rfam family "5.8S ribosomal RNA", at positions 35 to 154 of the family's 154-position model. The record is from RNAcentral.